Aedes albopictus (Asian tiger mosquito) is the source of this 17110-nucleotide long non-coding RNA. RefSeq lists it as uncharacterized. The transcript is spliced from 3 exons. The record is from RefSeq and is a predicted model, not a curated record. Lineage: Eukaryota; Metazoa; Arthropoda; Insecta; Diptera; Culicidae.
UGAGAGCUUCCUCUGCCCAUGACCAUUUUGCAUGUGUAUAUCGUGUGGCAGGCACGAAGAUACUCUAUGCCCAAGGAAGUCAAGGAAAUUUCCUUUACGAAAAGAUCCUGGACCGACCGGGAAUCGAACCCGUCACCCUCAGCAUGGUCAUGCUGAAUACCCGCGCGUUUACCGCCUCGGCUAAAUGGGCCCCAAAUGAUUUCAGGAAAAAAUGAAUCAUAUACUUAACGUCAAAGAUCAAGAAGUAUUCUAAAGAAGGAUAAUACAUUAUAGUGCAUUAAUUUCUCUGGAUAUAAUAUGCAGACAAGUAUGAUUUGCUGAAAAGAGCCAUUAUCGGAAUCCAAAUUGCUUGUAUCGAUAAAGAACAGCCUAUAUACAAAAGCAGGAACAUCCCCUUCCGGAAAAAUCAAAGAGCAGGUUAUUUCGAAAAUAAGAGAUCUAAUAAAUAUAAUGCACCACUAAUAAGUUCGCCUUCUUUCCAUUGAAGGCUGUUCUUUAAUUUUUCUCCCGAGAGAAAAUAUAUUUUUUCAUAUGAGCGAGUAAUGGCGCUUAAGCCUAGGCACUAGGGCCAGGACACAGGGAGGACCAAGGACCAAGGGGUGACAUUAACCUCCUUAGCAUCGUCACCCCCACCGAUAUUCACCGUAUUUUAAUUUUGCUUUUCCAUAAACUGAGCGGUUGGUACGAGAUGUCCCCACUCAUUGUCUUUAUUGUUGAAUUAAAAAUGCUGCACAGUAGGCCUUCUUCUUCUUCUUUGUGGCUUGACGUUCGCAUUGGAACUUGGCCUGCCUCUCUUCAACUUAGUGUUCUUAGAGCACUUCCACCUAGACUUCCACAGUUAUUAAUUGAAGGGCUUUCUUUGCAUGCCAUUGCAUGAAUUUGUACAUUGUGUGGCAAGUACAAUGAUACACUAUGCCCAAGGAGUCGAGAAAAGUUUUCCGACUGGAGCGGGAAUCGAACCCGUUGUCUCCGGAUGGGCGAUCCAUAGCCUUAACCACUAGGCUAACUGGAGACCCCCACAAGGCCUGGCCGCUUUAAUGCUUGUAAUGCAUCUUCGAUAUUCUGCAAUCAUUAAUAAUGACAAGAAAAAUGAUGGAACUAGUCGAUUUCAUCAUUUUCCAGGAUUCUUUCAAUGAAUGGCUGUGUAUGUGUAGACUAGACUAGACUAGAGAGAAAAUAUAUUUCACAUAUGCUUUAUGCCAAAUGUCGUUUAUGCCAAAUGUCCUUUAUGACAAAUGGCGUUUAUGCCAAACGUACCAGACCCAAAAAAGGUAAUGUUUUAUCUGAAAGAGCAACGCUUUCCAACGAGACCGUAGCCAUGUUUUUUCUUCUAUUCGAUCCAGCAAGUUUCUACACCUGAUGACAUUCUGGCAGAGCUAGGAAAGGCUAGGGAAUUCUCAACUAGUGACGCUAAAAAAGGGUUCUGGCACCUGGUCCUAAAUGAAGCCAGUAGCAAACAGAUUGUAACCUGUUUGCUGUUUGCAAACAGAUUGUGUAACCUUACUUGUAUGAGCCGAAUCUUGGCGAAAAUUUCAUGUUUUAUUGUCUUGUUAAUGUCAGAAGGCUUCAAACAACUGAGAGGGUUACUCCGCUACCAAACCAUUACAACCAAGCAUUGCUGAAGGGCGUAGAGGAUGGCCAUCAUAAUUUUUAUAUUGAGAUGUGGCAUGGCCGUUAACCCUGUCCCAUGGGCGCUGCCAUCUUCGAAAUAUAAGAUUUUUAGGGAGAAGUAUUCAGGCGUCCGUGUGAGCAAUACCGAUCUUCGUGAUCAUGAAAUUAGUGCCGCGUAUUGUUUCAACCCCCCCUCCCCCUCUUUUACGAUGGCGAGACCUGGGGCAACGGCCUACUACCGUUCAGGACCUCUUCCCGUUUUAUAAAAUACGGCCUCACACGGGUCGACUUGGAAUUCAAAAUGGCUUCCGAGUCUAAACGCAAAGGACACCUCGUCGUCCGAAUCCGGACGGUUCCUGCGAACCUCCGACCAUAAUUACCCACACUGCAAAAACUGCAAACAAGAAACAAUUAUUUUAUGUUUUACACACAUAUAUUUUUGCAAUUUGUCUGGACAAAUGAUGUUUAUGGGUGACACACACGCUAACCUGAAACUACCCAUCGACUAGGUCGAUUCGACCCGGAUUUUCAUGUUGUUAGCAGUUGUCAUAAUCCGGGUAACCCGAAAACCCAGAUUCGUUGAAUUUGGGUAAAGAUCUGGGUAAUCGGCACUUUGUCACUUUUCAGCUAGAGAAUAUGGCAGCGGUCAGGAUAACGCUGAAAACUAUGAAUGUUUUCGCGAAAAAUAUGCCGAUAAAUGACGGGAAAACAGUGGAAUUAUUCCGGGAACUGUUUUCCAGCAUCAGGUAAGUGAACAGCACAUGGAAAUUAAGAGCUUUUUAUUUAAAAUCUAAAUUGAAAAUAAAUUAACAAAAUCAAGGCCCCGGAGGAGCUGGGUAUCGCUUACCCAGAUUUUGCCACCAACAUCGGUAACCCAGAUUUGAGUAAAGGUGCCUUUACUCAGUUUAGAGUAACUGCAGUUUUGCUCAGUCUGGGUCGCUUUGACACCAAUCUGGGUAACUGAGGGUUAGCGUGCACAUAACGAAUUAUUUUUUGGUAUAUAUCGUUUUGAUGUGGACCACACAUAAAAACAAUGCAGAAUGACAAAUAAAAUCAAAGACCAUUGGCGUAGCUAGGGGGGGUUCCAGGGGUGCCUGGCACCCCCUAGAACAAAUUUGGCACCCCCUAGAAUUUUUCCUUGACAGUCACCUAAAAUUUAAAACUUUACACAAUAAUUCCAAUAUGUAUUACCGUGUGCGCACCUAACUUUGCGCAGGUCCAAACAUUGCGCAUUCUUGUAAAAUAACGAAACAAUUAACUAAAUGUCAACAUAUUUACCAGUUUAAUCAUUGCACUAGCAUUGUGUAAACAUAAACAUUAUUUGACAAAUAUUUAAUUGCCAUAAAAUCUUUGUUUAUGUUGAAUAAUAAACAAAAAAUACACAAAAAUGUCAAAAUUUGCCUCGCCUUAACGCGGUUGCCAAGAAGUAACUCUACUAAAAAUCAACAUUUUCCUCGAUAAAACUGUGCAACGAUGAUUAAUUUUGCAGUUAAUUGACAAAAAAAGGUGAUAUUCUAGUAAUAUCAAUCACAGUUCGUAAUAAACUUUUCAAUUUAAUUAGUAAAUAGUGGUGCGCAAUGUUUGGAACCAUUAUUUGCACUGUGUUCCUAAUUUUUGCGCACUUUCAGUAAAUGCAUGUUGAACGUGAUUACAUAACUUAUGAACCAUUCAAAUAUUAUGUAACACCAGUACUGAUAAUUUCAGGCCUGCCUCUCCACCAUGUAGCAGAUUUUGUAUAGAAAUUAGUAGAAAAUUGUAUGAACCGUAGCACUACGGCACUCUCCAUCUGUCUACAAUGAGACGUGAUUUGUGAACAGUCCUUCAUUUGGAUUUUCCGGCGGUCAAUGUUAGGGACGAUUAAAAUAUGACGUCCACCCUUUUUUUUCGAUUUUUAGAACCCCCUCUUUCCCUGGGCCACCCCGUCACGCUUCAUAGUAUGCCUAAUACAUUGCAUAUCACACUUUUUCAGACAACCCCAGCCCCUCCCCCCAAAGAUGGACGUCAUAUUUAAAUAACCCCUUAUUGUUCCUAUCUGUGACGGUCACUUCAUUUAUCAGGAAGCUUUUACCUUUGAUCUUUAGCCACAGGAAACAACCCAUCAUGAAGUUAGGAUUGUUCACACGGUGUAGGUGCCUAGUACGAACCGCAGACGAAAUUAAGAACUCCGGAGGCCUCCGUUCCCCCUCCCUCGUAGGCCAAAGUAUUUCAAGAAUGAUCAAUUAAGGGCACACUACCUGAUCUGAAUAGCUUUAGUUUAAAUAACAUUAAAUAAUAGUAUUUUGAUUACUUUUUUGAGUAAUUCAUACCAUGCGCAAAGUUAGGCACACUAUGCGUAAAGUUAGGUACAAUCGAAGAUUUUGUGCGCAAAGUUAGGAACAAGGCAACGAAAUAGUUUUUCUAUUUUAAGUAUUUUUUGAUUAAUAUUAUGAUUUUUUUUAUAUUGCAGACUCAAAGAAGGAUCAUUAGUCUAUCGUAUGAGCAUGUUGUUCAUGAUAUAUUUUGUUUGUUUGUAUUUUUUUAUAACGACUAGACAUUUGAUUUUUCUUAACUGCGCAAAGUUUGGUGCAUACACGGUAAUGGCACAUUUGAACAAAACUUAAGCACACCAGGAAUGUUGUACGUUUUGGCGUUUUGGAUAUUGGUGAUACCAAUCAACAGACUUCUCCCUGGAUUCCUACAGAAAUACCUCUCUUUAGGUUCCCUUUAUGGAUUCCUCCCGAAAUUUUAUCAAUAAACUUCUCUUAGGAUUCUCCAGGUCGUCCUGAUGGGGUUGUACAUACUAGAAAUAUCUGGAGAGAUUGAUCCAGCAAUUUCUUCUAGGAUUUCUUUGGAAAUUUUUACUAUGAUAUUUCUCGGAAUUCUUCUAGGGAUUCCUUUAAAAAAUUCGAUUGGGAUUCCUAGUGGGAUUAUUCAAGACAACCUUCCAGGGAUCCUUUCAGAAAUACCAAAAUCAGUCAUCCAAGUAACAGUUCCUCCGGUGUUUCUUCCAGGAAUUCCUUCAGAGAUUUUAUUCAGUGAUUCUGCCAGAAAUUUCUCAUAGAAUUCCUCCAGGAGCUUCUAUUGGCCUUCCUCCGGGAAUUGUGGAUAGGAUCCCUCAAGCAGUUUAUUCUGCGAUUUUUCCAGCAAUUUCUCUUAGAAUUCCUCCAGUGGGAAUGGUAGUUUCAGGAAUUCUACUAGGGAAGUUCUUUCGGAAAUUGAUGCGGAUAAUCUCCCUGGGAUGUUUCUAAAAAUCCCUUUGGUGAUUCUUCCGGCGAUUUCUUCAAGGAUUUAUUCAAAACUUCCUCCAGAGGUUCUUCCUGAAAUUCCACAGGGGAUUUCUCCAAGAAAUUCUAUUGACCUUCCUCCAUGAACUCCUGCUGAAAUUCUUCAAGCAUUUUCCAUUUGAACUGAUUCUAGGAUGUAUCUAGAAAUUACUACUAUGAUACCUCCCGGAAUCCAGCUGGGAUUCCUCAAGCAAUUCCUGCGGUUCUUCCAACUAUUCUUCCUAAAGAAAUUUUAACUGUGGUACUUCAGAAAUUAUGCUACGGAUUGUUCUAGAGGUUUGUCCUGGAUUUUUGCCAAGAUCGUUCCAGGCAAACUUCCUGGAAUUCUUGCAGAACUUGCUUUGGUCGUUCCACCAGGGCUUUCUCCAAGAACUCAUCCAGAAAUUCCUCCAGAGAUUUUAUCGAAAGAUUCCUCCAGAAAUUUCUCAUGGAAUUCGUGCAGAAACUCCUUUUGGCCUUCCUCCAAGAGUAACUCAAACAAUUCCUCCUUCGGUUCUUCCAGCAAUUCCUCCAGAAAUUCUUACUAUGAUACAUCCUGAAAUUCUUCUAGUGAUUCCUAUACGAAUUUAUGGAAAAUUUUCCUGGUAUUGCUUCAAAAAUUCCUCCUGCGAUUCCUUCAGGGCCAACUCUAUAGAUUCUUCAAGAACAAAGGUGGUACGGUCAAAAUUAGGUCAAUCAAUUUUUGUCAUAACUUUGGACUGCGUACACCAAAAUAGCUGAUUUUUGGACCAGUAAUGGUGCAUUAUAUGUAGCUAAUGCCAUAAAAUUUUCAUCAAAAUCGGUUUAGUUUUUGCGGAGAUAUUGUUGAAUCCUGAGAUCUGCAAUUUUAAAAUUUUGUACAAAGAGGCUUCAAAAAUAAGAACACAUUUUCACUGUUUUAUUUAUAGAGCCAGAAAUACUGAACCGAAUUCAAUGAUUUUUUUUCUGUAUAUAAAGAAUGCAUGUCCAAAUGUUGUGUAAAAAAUUAAUUCAAUUUGAUUUUGCCGUUUCAAAGUUAUAUUUGUUAAAGUGGCACCUUUGGAAGUAUUCAUACAUAAUUGAUCAUAGAUCAUAUUUGUAUAAUAGUAUUAUACUGUAAAAUUUUCAUAUGAAUCGGAGCAGUAUAAGUAGUUUUAUAACCAAAAGUGUGCUCUAAUGAUCUUAAAUUGUUAAAGAUUUACUAUGGAGCGCCUUUGUACAAAAUUCUAAAAAGGCAGGUCGUUGGUUUUAUCCAUAUAUCAAUCAAUACUUAAUGGAUUUUGAUGAAAAUUUUAUGGCAUAAGCUACACAUAAUGUACCAUCACCAAAAAUCAGCUGUUUUAGUGUACGCAGUCUGACGUUAUGAAAAAAAUUGUAUGAUCAAAUUUUGACCGUACCACCCUUUACCUACCGGUUCUUGCAGGGACUUCUGUAGGUACUCCAAGUAUUUUUCCUUUGGAUUCCCCUAGGAAUUCUUGGUGGGGUUUCUCUAGAAAUUCCAGUAUAGUUUUCCCCUAGGAUUUCAGCUGAGUUUUCUACAAUGAUACAUCCCAGAAUUCUUUUAGGGAUAUUCCCUGAGAUUUCUUCAGAAGCUCUCCUGUGAUUCCUUCAGGAAUUUUUAUCAAAGGAUUCUCUCGUAAAUUUCUCAUGGAAUUCCUCCAGGAGCUCCUCUUGGCCUUCCUCCAAGAAUUUCAGCUGGAUUUUACAAGCUAUUCCUGCUGUGGUUCUUCCAGCAAUUCUUCCUAGCAAUCCUCCAGAAAUUCUGGCUGUAAUACCUCGAGGAAUUCUUCUAAGGUUUCUUCUAAGAAUUUCUGCAGGGAUUUUUUCAAUAACUUGCUGGGAUUAUUCAAGGCAAUCUUCCUAGCAACCUUGCAGAAAUACCUUCGGUGUUUCCUUCUGGAAAUCAUAUUUCUUUUUUCAUGGGAUUUCUCCAAAUAUUUCUCAUUGGAUUCCUCCCGGAACUCCUCUAGACUUUCAUCCAGGAGCUCCUCCUGGGAUUCCAUAAGCUUCUAAUGGUUCGGGAAUGCCUCCUAGGUCUCCGCCAGAAAUUCUUACUGUGAUACCUGCAGAAAUCCAUCUAGGGAUUCCUUCUAGAAUUCUCGUUUGGAUUCUUCUAGGCAGUUUUCAUAGGAUGCCUUUAAUUCCAGAAAUGCCUUUGAUUCUUCCAGGAUUUUUUCUAAAGACUGAUCCAGGAAUUGCUCUAGAGUUUAUAAUUCAUGGAUUACUCUAGAAAUUAUUCAUGGUAUUACUCCUGGAGCUCCUCUUGGCCUUCUUCAAGGAAUUCCAGCUGAAGGAAUACCAAUAGAAAUCUCAAGAGGAAUCCCUAAACGAAUUUCGGAAAUACUUGGAAUUUCCAGAGAAUUCCUAAGAGAUAUUACUAGAAGACAAAUCUCUAGUGAAAGCCCAUAGGAAAGAAUGUACGGGAAAACUUGUAAUUCAUUAGAAGGCACAGAAUUUUGCUAAUUGACAAAUUGCGAGAUGAAUUUGUAAAAAAAAUCGCUUUCUGGUGGGAUUCGAAUCCAUGACUCUGUAUUCGCUAGACUGAAGUAUGGCAAAUCCUUAGGCAUGGUUGUCUUUUUUUUUUGAAAACUUCUGCAAUAGUUUCAUUCAAGCCUAACUUUACCGAACACCGUAUAUAACAUAUGUAAACAAAAAAGAUUUUCACAUGAGGCGCUGAAUUUCGUUAGGCACUGCUUGUGUCAAUGACAUUUGGGGAUGAUUUGUGUAAAAAUCAACAUAAUUUUCACGUUUUUUAAAUGCUCAAUAUAUGAGUUGCUAUGGGAACAGAGAACAUCCCCUUCUAUUUUCUCAGUUCAUGGAUUUAGUUGGAUACGGUGUUUGGUAAAGCUGGCUUGCAUUGUAAUUUAAUCAGAAAUUUCUCCAGAUUUUUUUCUGGAUCUUAAAUUAUUUCAGCAGAUUCUUUUCCAGUUAUUUUGCAAAUUUCGCAGGCAAUUUUAUCGUGAUUACUUUCGUAAUUCUUUAUGAUUUAAUUGUAUUUAUAUUUAUUGCUUCUGAAAAUUGCUGAAUUGGAAAUGCAGAAAUUCUCACCUGGGCUUGCUCAAAGAAAAUCCUACGAAGUUGACGAAAAAUUUCCUGAAAAAUUCGCAAAUAAAUUACCGGAAAAAUUCUCAUCAAAAUUACCUUAGAACUUUCAACUUAGUCGUUAAAAUAUAACAUUGACAUAAAAAAUUUCAAAGAAAUUCUCAAAGAACUUUCCGAAAUCAUCAAAGAGAUUUCUGAAGAAAAUUUAGAAAGAAUUCCAAGAGUAAUUGUCGAAGAAUCACCGUGAUAGAAUUUAAAAAAAAAUCGCCAAAGAUUUUUUUUAAAUAAAUUCUUGCAGGAAAUCUCUAAGAAAUUUGCCGAAUCAUUUUCCAAAGAAUUACCGAAGAAAUCCCCAAAGUAAUCGAAGUUUCCGAAAUUUCUAAAUGAAUUGCUAAUGAAAUUCCCAAAUAAAUUUUCAAUGCUAGUAACAUCGGAUUUGCCAAAGGUAUUCCGAAAUCAUCUAUUGCAGGAAUCUCUCACAUAAUUAGUGAAGAAAUUUAAAAGAAGUUGUCUAAAGAAUUUUCAUUGAAAUCAUAUAAGAAUUUCCGAAGGACUUUUCGAAGGAAUUGGAUAAUGGAAGCCCAAAAAAUCGGAAAAAAAAUCACAAAAAAAUAAUGGCUUGCCGAAGACACUAAAAAAAUGCGAGGAAGUUCCCAGUCACUGUCGAAUGAAUUACCGAAGGCUUCACCAAAAAAUUCCCAAAAGAGUUGCCUGAAGAGUAAUUUGAGAAAUAAAAAAAACAAACAUCAAUAGGAUUGCGACAUUAAAUAAACAAUGUUUGAAAAACUACUAAAAAGUUGGCGAAGAACUCCCGAGAAAACAUUUCAAAUGAUUUUCCAAUGAAAUAAAAAAGCCAAAUGAACUCCUAAUGGAUUCGGCGAAAAAAUUUCCUAGGUAAUUGCAGAUAAAUUUUCAAAAGAUGCGUGAAAGAUGUUUAGUAUAAAAUCCCAAACAUAACACCAAAUACAUUCUUAAAGAAAUUUCCGAAGGAGAUCUAAAGAUAUGACCGGAGAAAUUUACCAAAUCCAAGGGAAUUACUGAGAUAUUUACAAAAGAAGUCUUAAUUGAAAUAAAUUGCAAAGCAACUUCUAACCAAAUUUCCGGGAAUAUUCCCUGAGGAAUUGGGUUGUUAAGUGAAUAAAAUAUUGCUAUUUUUAUAUCCUAAUCGAUAGAUCUCAUUUUUAUGAGUAUAACGUGAUAUUAUUGCGAUCCAAUUUCUUGGUUUUGAUGGUUAAAUAAACAAUUCCUGGCCACCAAAAAUUAUGAAAUUUUGGAUUUCAACUUAUUUGUGAACGGAGAAUCUGAUUAUGAAAUAAUCUGAAUAACCCUAAAGAACCCAACUACCGAAAGAAUGUUUCGACGAAAACACAAAUUUCUUAUAUUAUACGUACAAACCAGACUUGAUUAUCCGAAAUUUACGAAGCAGAAGUUAUGACUGAUUACUACAAUGUUGUUUUUACGUAAAUCAGAUUCCCGAAGAAAAAAAUCGAAGUUCCCUUACACCAAAUUCCGGCUUUUAACUGGAUGGAUAAUAUGUUCGUGAAGCUUAAUGGAACUCAUUAUAAUCGACUCCAAAUUUUGUAGGGUUAAGAAUCAUAGUCACAAUUUCUCCGUAAAAGUAAAAGUUGCCCACGUGGUAGUGUUCAACUAAUGAAACAAAACGUUAAUGGCGACAUUAAUGUUGAGGUCAAACCAAAAAUGCAAAUAUGUAUCCUGAUAUUGCUAUUUUAGGUAUUUAUAACUCUUGAAAACUAUUUUUGUAAGAGUUGUUAUCAUGCAAUUAACCAAAGAGGAUGUCACGAUGAAUACUAGUUACACGCAAAUUUGAGAAUAUUUUAUAGUUUCUGAGAUUUACACUUCUAAAAGUUGCUCUGAAAAAUAUUCUUACGGACCUGAUUUUUUCCAAUCCACAAAACAAAAGGGUAUUCGUCAUGAUUGUUGAGUUCAAACUGAACUGAAAAUACAAAUUCCAUGUAUUAUACGCAAUCAAGUUAUCAAGUCUUCAAGCUUCACAUGGCGGGGAAAGUGUUAAGUCAGUACAACGGUUGGGAUUAUCAAAAAAAAAAAGAACUGUUCCUUAAAAUAUAGAGCAUUUAAAUUUGCUGGCUAUUUUUUGCCGCGACGCAGUAUAUCAUUAUACUAAGAAAUUGAGGGUAGAUCGAUAUUUGCUUCUACAAAAAAAAAAAAGUAAAACAACCUGGAAACUACUGAAACUGGCACCCUCUAGGCACCCCCUAGGAAAAAAUCCUAGAUACGCCAAUGUCAAAGACAUUACUUGUAUAUUUAAUGGAUGUGCUCAAAUGGUUUUUAUAGUAGAGAAUACAAGUUUAUCGGGGAUUAAUGUUACAAGUUUGAUUUAAAAAGCUUUUAACAUCCUAGCUUUUAACAUGGAUUUAAAAUACAGCAAUCAGCUCAUUUGGAAAGAGUCAAACACCGUAUUGUAUUCAAAAGUUGAUCGGUUGACCACUAAUUAGUAACCAAUCGAUCAACUUUUCAAUUCCAAACCAAGUUUCUGAUGAUGUUUUAAAGUUGUUCUCCUGAGAAUUUUCGAGUUUCCAUAGAUUUUCCAAUUUCAUGCUAUUGCCAAGCCAACCACUAUUUCAUGCUCCAAAGAAUAGGGUCGAGAUGAUUUCAGAAGAAAUUACUCCACUACGAACUGCAACUCCUGCAGCACAUUAUUCUGUAAACGUGUUUUAAUCGCCAUCUUUUCACUUUGAGCAUCGCCGGCGGCUGACACAGACACUGAUGCAAACACGGUUUCGCUAUACAUUGUUAUUAUGUGUGUACACACAUAUUUUUUUGCUAUGGGUGAUCACACAUACCAAUGAUUUGUGAAACUAAUUAAAAGAAUAAACGAUAAUCAUGUUAGUUAUAUUUUGGGUAAUAAAAUAUAUGUGUGAGAAGGUCGAUUGGAUCGAUGUGUAAUUUCACAUAAAAUAAAUAUUUGCAGUUUUUGCAGUGUGGGUGCACGAUCAACUCCAAGCGUUCACUGAAGAAACUUGAGGUUGUAACUACUCGCAGAUACCGUUGACUUGAGGAGAGGGUCACAGCACAGAAGUGACCCUUCCCAGCAGCUAACGAGGCUCUGUAUUUACCCUCAAUCGCAGGGUCGGCACGUUCAUCCUUUCUAUUUCGCGGACUCAUGAAAACACUUGAGCUUGCUUUUUCACACUCCUGUUUAUUAAGUUUUAGUGCACUUACGAUUUGUUACAGUUAGUUUUAUAGAGCAAUUAUUUGUACCGAAAAGCGUAAAUUUGUUCAAGUGUUAAACAAACAUCGAAGGAAAACAAUUUCUAGGCAUCCCUAAGUUGUUUGAAAAGCGAAGCAAAGGAAAAAUUUUCUUGAAAUCGUCGUGACGUGUCGUGCCAGCAAAAGACUUCCACCAAAAACGAACGAGCACCACAAGUGGCAAAGCCUCGACAACGAGCGGACAUAGUGGGUGAUAGUGCGCAGAAAACGAAUCUCCAAAGUCGGGCCGGAACGAGAUUGACCAUAGAGAUUACGCUAGCGCAGAUCCGGUUUCUUCAGUGCAAAAACCCGCGUCACAACAUUCCGCACGUGUCAGGAGCUGUCGAGAGAACAGUCGCCCAAUCCGCUGCGCCUGGACUGUCAACGUAACGAUUUGCGGCCAACAUCGCUUUUCUGGAGCGUAUUGACCAGACUGUCCAGGAGACGGACCGCAGCACUCUGACACGAGUGAUUGAGCACGAUCGGGCAUCCUUGCAUAAAGGCACUGAAUCUAAACCACCUGCGAAUAAGCUCCAGAUCGAGCUACUCGGCAACGGAGAGAGUGUGUCGCACCAAACAAGCCCCUCUACAGGGUAGGGAAAUUAUUCACAGCAGGAAUAAACAGCACUUAACCUAAACGUCCCCACAGGGUUUUGUUUACCAUCUUCACAGCGCACAUAGAGGGAACCUCGGAGGGAGCUCCGCACGUCAGAGGCGUUCCCGUCUCUACCCUCGUCCGUCUGGAACCAAUCCGCACCAAAUCGUCGGCCACGCACGGAAACCACGAGCAAGAAGGCGCGAGCAAUCCGGCACAACCAAGCGCGAUCGCAUCGGCAAAUCACGUCACCCGCCGAGCCUUCUGGAAUUCCCCAGACGGAGGUCACGCGACGGCCAUCGAAAGAGGCAGCUGGGAGUGUCAACGGCCUCGGUGAUUCGAGGUGACAGAGGCCCGCCACCUGAUGAGAACGAUGGCGGAGUGCAGGCUGGCCGGCACGUCGCGGCAAGGCCCCCAUUAGGGAGGAUCGAUGAUACACGGUUGCUGGUGCAAUCCUAAUUUUCGGUGAGCUACGAAUACCCUAAGUUAAGCUAUAUGAACUAGAGCAAUAAAGCAACUUUGUUAUGACAAAUUGAGUUCGGGCUGCAGUUUGUUGUUUCUGUCAUUCUCGCAUCCCUAAUUGACGGGAAAGAGAUUUUUGAGUAACAGAUUUUCUAGCUAUUUACCUUCUUCACCCUACAUCUUUCCACCCACUUUCUUAAUCUAAUCUGACCUUCUUCCAUCUUGGGGCUCCUACCCUCUUGCUGCCAUCUUCGAUCGUUCCACGCUCCGUCUUCUUCUCGGGCCACGGUCCAAAUGCGACCUUUACCGCCUAAAUGAACCGGGAGUUCUUCAACUUUCGGAGAACGAGUCUGCAUUGGUCUUCGGCCGGGUGUAGUGAAUGGUCGGAACAUCACCUGCCCAAGUUUACGUCGGAUGCCGCCACGGUGGAGGGUGGCCCAUUUUGAGGCUAGGGUUCACCUCGGUAGUUAUGGUAAAACCACGGUAAAACUACGGGGUUCUGUGUCCUCCCUGGACACUCUUGAUCCUAGUUUCGGCUCAACGAACAGCGAGCACUUCUAACUAAGCUGUUGGGGAAUAUUUGGGUAAAUGGCCGAUCUUAUGGUCACGAUCCGUCUAGGAUCUAUAUUCAUGUCAUGGUCUCCAUUUGCUACCAACGGCCACUAUUAUUCGCUUGACAGGCAGAGUCCUCUAGUGGGAGAUCUUGCAGAAUAUCGGUAGCUGCAUUUAUAGGCUGCGUUCUUAUCGGGUAACCAGCAAACACAAAGUGGAAACACACAACACAAACACUUUCCUAAAUUUUAUUCAACAAACUGACGAAUACCACUGUAGACCGCGACAAAAUCUCAAAAACCUGCUGAAGGGAUAUUACGAACCGUUACAGGGUCGUGAUCGACGAUGUGCUAAAAUUCGGUAGCCAUGUGGAAUAUGUCUACAGUCCCUCUGGAGCCGACCUACUGAUACUGAUACUUGGCAAGAGUCUCGAGCAAGCGUGAAGAAACGUGAAACGACUUGAGAGCACCCGCAGGUUGAUGUACCUUAGGGUCGUCAGUGCAUAUCGCAUGGUCUUAAAGGACGCGGUAUGUGAGCUAGCAGGCAUGAUGCUCAUUGGAUUAGUGGUGGUAGAGGAUGAAGAGUGUUUCGAGCGACGCGGCAUAACAUCGUCAGUGUUGAAAUGGCAGAGGGAAUGGGAUUCCUCCAGCAAGGGUAGAUAGAUACACAGUACAGGUUCAUACCGAGCGUGUCUAACUGGACGAGCAGAGUCCCAUGGCGAGGUGAACUUCUUGGCCCUAUUUCUAUCGGCCUAUGGGGGCUUUGUUGAAUGGUAGGUACAUCCUUGGAGGUGCAUCACACAGCUCAGUGGAGAUCUAGGUAUCAACUGGUAGGUAAAUGACACAUUCUACCGUGACGUUACAACGUUUUGACGCAUUCGUAGUCAGAUUUUCCACUAUAACUCAUGAAAACGAGCGUAAACCUCAAAAUAUUUUUUCAUAUUCGGAUUCCUUGUAAAAUUUCCGAUAUGUUUGACCUGUUUAAUAUUUAGUUUUCAUUAGAAAAACUUAUUUUGAAUGGGUAUUUGUAGCGUGACGUUACAACGCGCUAAAAUUCGACCCCUUCUACCGCGCAACCAACAUCUUGAAAAAUUUGCUCGGAUUUUUAUUUUCAACUGAAAAUUUCUCCCACCAUUGAAAUUUACUGGUUUGUUCUUCAAUGCAGUGAAAUAAAACAUUUGCAUUUCAGAUUCGUUUUUGGAUAAUCGACUUUUACAUUUCGUGACGUUACAACGCCCGUUCAGUUUCAAACAGGGUUCUGCUCGCGUUGUAACGUCACGAAAAUGCACAUCAUUUUAUAAUCAGAAUAAUCAGCCAAAAUUGCCCGAAUUUGUGAAUAUAUUCACUGCUCCAAGAGCAACUUUAUUCUAUUGAAAAUCCGUUUUGUGAUAAAUGGGUCGGAGGGCCAAGUUAUUGCUAUCAGCAGUAUGAAAACUCCUUCAUGAAAGUUAAUGGUACCCAUCUUCGGCCUAGUACCACCCAUAUUCAUCUAAUAUUGUCCCAAAGACUAAACCGUUGAUAUUCAUUACUUCGCACCGCCAGAUAUUUAGAUUGUGCAGCAUAAAACUAAUCACGCCGUCGAAUUAAACAUUUUUUCAAUAGUUAAUGCAAUGUCAUUGAUUCAAUUAAAAACGCUUAAAGAUGUGCGAGCAGUUAUUGAACCAAAGACAUACCUGAGGAUCUGCAUACCACUUAGGGGCAUCAAUUUCUGUGAUUCUAGAGACAAAUAGACCUAAUUCUGACAAAAAAAUCCAUCCUAUAUAUGUCAGAGUUAUAAUUACUUAGAGAGUUAGUGUCUUUGGCAAAGUUGUUUGAUAAGUCAAAAACUUACAGCUGAUUUACUAUUGGAUAUGAGAUUCAGACACACUGGGCGACGCUAAUUAAAAGUAUACAAUAGUUUAGAAUUUCUCAAAAAGUUUUCAACAAAUUUUGACUAGUUGAGAAACUUUUUUUUGGCAAAAUCUUUGGGAACUUUAUAAGAAGUUACAACAUGUUGAAUAUUUUUUGAAUAAAUAUAAAAUGCAUGAUUUUUCAAAAUUUCAACUACCACUAGUCAGUUAGAAACUUGAACCAAACGGCUUUUAAACUGAAAAUUCUUUACAAGAUAAACAACUUUUCCAAAAACAUCAACAUUCUAAAAGUCUAAAGUCUAAGUAAUUAGAGCCCUGAGAUUUAUGAGUUUCUAUUUCGUAGGUGUUACCGUGUAUGCACCAAACUUUGCGCAGUUAAGAAAAAUCAAAUUUCUAGUCGUUAUAAAACAUACAAACAAACAAAAUAUAUAAUGAACAACAUGCCCAUACGAUAGACAUAUGAUCCUUCUUUGAAUCUGCAAUAGAGAAAAAAUCGUAAUAUUAAUUAAAAAAUACUUAAAAUAGAAAAACUAUUUCAUUGCCUUGUUCCUAACUUUGCGCACAAAAUCUUCGAUUGUUCCUAACUUUGUGCAUGGUGUGCCUAACUUUGCGCAUGCUAUGAAUUGCUCAAAAAAGCCAUCAAACAUACUGUUAUUUAAUGUUUUUUUCCGUUAAAAUAAAGUUAUUCAGGUAGUGUGCCCUUAAAUGAUCUUUGUUGAAAUACUUUGUCCUAGGAGGGAGGGGAACGGAGGCCUCCGGAGUUCUUGAAUUCGUCUGCGGUUCGUACUAGACAUUGACCGUGUGAACAAUCCUAACUUCAUAAGGGGUUUUCCAAUGGCUAAAGAUCAAAGGUAAAAGCUUCCUGAUAAAUUAAAUGACCGUUACGGAUAGGAACAAUAAGGGGUCAUUAAAAUAUGACGUCCAUCUUUGAGGGGAGGGAGUUGGGGUUGCCUGAAAAAAGUGUGAUAUGCCAUGUAUUAGGUAGGGUGGGGCGGGGCAAGAUGGGUCGCGGGGCAAGAUGGGUCAGUGCCAUUUUCGGGCGCAUUACUUAUGUUUUGGUUAUGUUAAUAAUUUUGUUAGAUGACCAGCAUGAAUAUACAAAAGUUUGGAGCAUUGAUUGAAAAAUGAUUCACUCUCAUUGGAAUUAAAAAAUAAAAUGGUUUUUAGCCAUUUUUCUUAUGCGAUACAUUCCAUAUAAUCCCCAUAUGAACGGCCGCGGGGCAAGAUGGGUCACCUUCAAUUUUGAACGUAUUUUUGGAGCAUUUCAAAGUUAUUUAUUUUUUAUUACAAGACUAUCUCAUAAAUGACUUCAAUCAAACGGAAUGAACGCUCAAAAUUAUAACAUAAAAUUAUGAUAAUUUUUUAGUGAAAACAUCGAUUUUCAAGUCGCCUUAGGACCACUCAAAUCGUAAAGUUUUUUAUAUUCCAAAUAAAUUUAUAAAAUGUUCACUAAUAGCUCUUGUUUACUCAGUAUGGAUAUGGAGCAUAUAUGAAUGCCGAACAAAUCUCAUAUUUUGACGUUUUUCGUUGAGAAAAUGUGAAUUACUUAAAAGGUGACCCAUCUUGCCCCGCACUUUUUUCACGGUGCAAAAUCGAUCACUUUUUAAAAUUGCUUGUUUAACGUCAUAUUUUGUAUUUAAUUAACUUUUUAUCGACUUUUAGCAUAGCUAACUAGUGUAAUAAAGAGUAGCGGACGAAUACAAACCAAUACGAUUUGUAUUUACAAAGUUAUGGUGAUCCAUCCUUAGGUGACCCAUCUUGCCCCGCCCCACCCUAUACUAUCAAGCGUGACGGAGGGGCCAGGGGAGGAGGAGGAGUCCAUCUUUGAGGGGAGCAAGUUCUAAAAUCCUAAAAAAAUGUGGAUGUCAUAUUUGAAUAGUCCCUAACAUUGACCGCUGGAAAAGCCAAAUAAAGGACUGUUUACAAAUUACGUCACUGUUGAAAGGCAGGCACUCUCCAUGCCUGCCAUAGUGCAACGGUUCAUACAUUUUUCUACUAAUUUCUAUACAAAAUCUGCUACAUGGUGGAGACGGAGGCCUGAAAUUGUCAGUACUAGUGUUACAUAAUAUUUAAAUGGUUCAUAAGGCAUGUAUUCACGUUGCACAUGCAUUUACUGAAUGUGCGCAAACAUUAGGAACACAGUGCAAAUAAUGGUUCCAAACAUUGCGCACCACUAUUUACUAAUGAAAUUGAAAAAAAUAUCAUGGACUGUGAUUGAUAUUACUAAAAUAUCACCUUUUCUGUCUAUUAACGGCAAAAUUAAUCAUCGUUGCACAGUUUUAUCGAGGAAAAUGUUGAUUUUUAGUAGAGUUACUUCUUGGCAACCGUGUUAAGGCGAGGCAAAUUUUGACAUUUUUGUGUAUUUUUUGUUUAUUUUUCAACAUAAACAAAGAUUUCAUGGCAAUUAAAUAUUCGUCAAAUAAUGUUUAUAUUUACACAAUGCUAGUGCAAUUAUUAAACUGGUGAAAAUGUUGACAGUUAGUUAUUUUUUUCGUUAUUUUACAAGAAUGCGCAAAGUUUGGACCUGCGCAAAGUUAGGUGCGCACACGG